AGCAGUAGACACGGGAAUACCGAGGGUGCGAGCGUUAAUCGGAUUUACUGGGCGUAAAGCGUGCGUAGGCGGCUUUUUAAGUCGGAUGUGAAAUCCCUGAGCUUAACUUAGGAAUUGCAUUCGAUACUGGGAAGCUAGAGUAUGGGAGAGGAUGGUAGAAUUCCAGGUGUAGCGGUGAAAUGCGUAGAGAUCUGGAGGAAUACCGAUGGCGAAGGCAGCCAUCUGGCCUAAUACUGACGCUGAGGUACGAAAGCAUGGGGAGCAAACAGGAUUAGAGACCCCCGUAGUCCCUGUCUCUUAUAC
RNAcentral lists this ribosomal RNA (303 nucleotides) under uncultured bacterium. RNAcentral describes it as "partial 16S ribosomal RNA". It matches the Rfam family "Bacterial small subunit ribosomal RNA", at positions 507 to 807 of the family's 1533-position model. The record is from RNAcentral.